This is a long non-coding RNA of Hyaena hyaena (striped hyena), 299 nucleotides long. RefSeq lists it as uncharacterized. Lineage: Eukaryota; Metazoa; Chordata; Mammalia; Carnivora; Hyaenidae. The record is from RefSeq and is a predicted model, not a curated record. The transcript has 3 exons.
UGUUGUCUCUGCUCAGAGUUCAGGAGCCUUGUCCCUUCCGUGAGCUCUGAGUCUGGUUACCCACAUUAAUACCAGCUCUUCAGUCACGGGACGGCUCCUGCAGAACUCUCCUUCCAAGAAAUGAAUCCUUUUCUCCCUCAGAGACUUUCACCAGGAUUCACUGCAACACCUUGGACGGGAAGUUGCCUGCAGAUUCGGUGGCCACAACGAUCUAACUCUUCCUGGAUGUUCUCUGCUAACCAGGCCCAGGAAGGGGAGACUGAAGGCUUGGCAGGUUUUGAGAAACUGUACAGAGGCAU